This 498-nucleotide ribosomal RNA is filed under the name uncultured bacterium. RNAcentral describes it as "partial 16S ribosomal RNA". It matches the Rfam family "Bacterial small subunit ribosomal RNA", at positions 899 to 1397 of the family's 1533-position model. The record is from RNAcentral.
ACUCAAAUGAAUAGACGGGGGCCCGCACAAGCGGUGGAGCAUGUGGUUUAAUUCGACGCAACGCGAAGAACCUUACCUGGGUUUGACAUGCGCAGGACAAGUGACGAAAGUUACUCUCCCUUCGGGGCUUGCGCACAGGUGCUGCAUGGCUGUCGUCAGCUCGUGUCGUGAGAUGUUGGGUUAAGUCCCGCAACGAGCGCAACCCUCGCCCUCUGUUGCUACCGGGUCAUGCCGGGCACUCUGAGGGGACUGCCCCGGUGAACGGGGAGGAAGGUGGGGAUGACGUCAAGUCCUCAUGGCCUUUAUGUCCAGGGCUACACACGUGCUACAAUGGUCAGGACAAUGGGUCGCUCCCUCGUAAGAGGUUGCCAAUCUCAAAAACCUGGCCCCAGUUCGGAUGGUCGGCUGCAACUCGCCGGCCUGAAGUUGGAAUCGCUAGUAAUCGGAGAUCAGCACGCUCCGGUGAAUACGUUCCCGGGCCUUGCACACACCGCCCGU